CCAGAGCCGUAAGGAUGUGGUUCUGAGGGAUGUGUGCAGUGGGCAUGGUGGGAUAGGCUGGGAUUGGACCUGGGGAUGUGAGAGCUCUAACGAUUCUAUGAAAUCAAGGCCUGUGUUGUAGGGAACAGACUGCCCUCUGCCAGGCCGAGGAGCUUGCUGAAGGAACAGAGUUGCUGUCACACCCUGCUCUGACUCCCUGCAAAACAGGACCAGGGGGAUGCUGUGGGGCUGCUGACUGCUGUGACCCAUCCAUAAGGAAACACCAGGCCCAGUCCUGCAGUGAAGCUGUCCUACUCCAGCUGUGUGAAGAGCAUGGGACAACGAGGUGGAAGCUGGGAAAGCGUGCCUAGAUCUGAGGCUCAGGAAGCCCUGGCUUGCCCCGUGGAGCAUCACAAAGCCCACAGCAAAUGCACCAAGUGUUCCUGCCAUCUCACCAUUAGGAAGUCUUCCUCGGAUAUUCAGCCUAAUUUUUCAUUCUUUGAAUUGAUGUCAAUUACCCCCCAGCUAAACCUAGUUAUGCAGUGGAAGACAGGUUUAAAAUAGUGCAUGAUCUCACGAAAUUGAAGAAAUGGACUGAAAUCGAUACAAUGAGAGGCAAUAAGAAUGCCCAUAAAGGUUAAGUGGUUGGUGGAGGAAGGAUUAAUGAAAUGCACACGUACUAGGUCAAGUUGCAAAUACCCUUACUUCGUUCUUACCCACUCCGUACUCCACAAAUACAUUCUCGUCCUUCAAAUUGAAUGAGGAGGUGCCUCAGAAUCUGACUCAUGACUUGGAGAGUUACAAGACUAGUAUCAAGGAAUGGUUGGGUUUAAUGCAUGGGAAAUGCAAGAAAAAGGUUUUACUGCUUCUUACUUAGUUCUGCAGAGAGCUCCAAGGCCCCAUCUACAGUACUGCGUCCAGGCCUGGGGCCCCCAGUGCAGGAAGGACGUGGAGCUCUUGGAGCGGGUCCAGAGGAGGGCCACUAAGAUGGUCAGAGGGCUGGAGCACCUCUCCUGUGAGGAAAGGCUGAGGGAACUGGGCUUGUUUAGCUUGGAGAAGAGAAGGCUGCGGGGAGACCUCAUUGCAGCCUUCCGGUACUUGAAGGGAGCGUAUAAACAGGAGGGGGAGAGGCUGUUUACAAGGGUGGAUAGUGACAGGACAAGGGGGAAUGGUUUUAAACCGAGACAGGAGAGGUUUAGGUUGGAUAUUAGGAAGACGUCUUUCACCCAGAGGGUGGUGACGCACUGGAAUAGGUUGCCCAAGGAGGCUGUGGAUGCCCCAUCCCUGGAGGCAUUCAAGGCCAGGCUGGAUGUGGGUCUGGGCAGCCUGGGCUGCUGGUUGGCGACCCUGCACAUAGCAGGGGGUUGGAACUGAGUGAGCAUUGUGGUCCUUUUCAACCCAGGCCAUUCUAUGAUAUGAUACGAUAUGGCUUCUCCAAGUGAGGAAGAACAGUGUGAGCUCCUCUCCCUUCCCUGUAGUGACUUUAAACUCUCAGCCUACGAAGGUUUUUCAGAGUCAAUGUUUUCCAUUUUCUAGUGGUUCAGGGACACGUGGCAGAUAAAGAGAAAACAACUAGAAGCAGAAUAAUGAACUUUUGCUGCUGAUCAUUGGAGAGAAAAUCAGUACAGGUUCCUUUGUGGGUCUUCUCAUUCUUGGGGACAGGUUUGUGUAGAGAUGCAUUAUUUUCUGUCCUUUUGCCUUGUCUGAUUUCUGCCUGUAUGGCAUUGGAUAAGCCGUACCUUGGUGGACACGUGAGAAUCUAAAUGAAACAGAACUAAAUGUGGAGAAGAAACCUA
Long non-coding RNA from Gallus gallus (chicken), 1775 nucleotides. RefSeq lists it as uncharacterized. The record is from RefSeq and is a predicted model, not a curated record. NCBI's taxonomy places the organism in Eukaryota, Metazoa, Chordata, Aves, Galliformes, Phasianidae. The transcript has 2 exons.